RNAcentral lists this ribosomal RNA (378 nucleotides) under uncultured eukaryote. Its description in RNAcentral is "partial 18S ribosomal RNA". It matches the Rfam family "Eukaryotic small subunit ribosomal RNA", at positions 592 to 976 of the family's 1831-position model. The record is from RNAcentral.
CAAUAGCGUAUAUUAAAGCUGUUGCGGUUAAAAAGCUCGUAGUUGGAUUUCUGUCAAGGACGACUGGUCCGCCCUCCGGGUGAGCACAUAGUUUGGUCUUGGCAUCUUGCUGGAAGCUGUGCUGUGCUUGGCUGUACGGUACAGGGUCCAGCACUUUCACUUUGAGGAAAUUAGAGUGUUUCAAGCAGGCGAAAUGCCUUGAAUACUCCAGCAUGGAAUAACAAGUAAGGACUUAGGUUCUUCUUGUUGGUUUAGGGACCUUAGUAAUGAUUAAGAGGAACAGUCGGGGGUAUUCGUACUUGGUAGUCAGAGGUGAAAUUCUUGGAUUUACCAAAGACGAACUACUGCGAAGGCAUCUACCAUGGAUGUUUUCAUUAA